Molecule: ribosomal RNA, 530 nt
Filed under: Cryptosporidium parvum
Lineage: Eukaryota; Apicomplexa; Conoidasida; Eucoccidiorida; Cryptosporidiidae
Description: SSU rRNA
Rfam family: Eukaryotic small subunit ribosomal RNA
Source: RNAcentral
UAUUGGCCUACCGUGGCAAUGACGGGUAACGGGGAAUUAGGGUUCGAUUCCGGAGAGGGAGCCUGAGAAACGGCUACCACAUCUAAGGAAGGCAGCAGGCGCGCAAAUUACCCAAUCCUAAUACAGGGAGGUAGUGACAAGAAAUAACAAUACAGGACUUUUUGGUUUUGUAAUUGGAAUGAGUUAAGUAUAAACCCCUUUACAAGUAUCAAUUGGAGGGCAAGUCUGGUGCCAGCAGCCGCGGUAAUUCCAGCUCCAAUAGCGUAUAUUAAAGUUGUUGCAGUUAAAAAGCUCGUAGUUGGAUUUCUGUUAAUAAUUUAUAUAAAAUAUUUUGAAUAUUUAUAUAACAUUAACAUAAUUCAUAUUACUAUAUUUUUUAGUAUAUGAAAUUUUACUUUGAGAAAAUUAGAGUGCUUAAAGCAGGCAUAUGCCUUGAAUACUCCAGCAUGGAAUAAUAUUAAAGAUUUUUAUCUUUCUUAUUGGUUCUAAGAUAAGAAUAAUGAUUAAUAGGGACAGUUGGGGGCAUUUGU